Molecule: transfer RNA, 73 nt
Filed under: Felis catus (domestic cat)
Lineage: Eukaryota; Metazoa; Chordata; Mammalia; Carnivora; Felidae
Rfam family: tRNA
About the family: Transfer RNA (tRNA) molecules are approximately 80 nucleotides in length. Their secondary structure includes four short double-helical elements and three loops (D, anti-codon, and T loops). Further hydrogen bonds mediate the characteristic L-shaped molecular structure. tRNAs have two regions of fundamental functional importance: the anti-codon, which is responsible for specific mRNA codon recognition, and the 3' end, to which the tRNAs corresponding amino acid is attached (by aminoacyl-tRNA synthetases). tRNAs cope with the degeneracy of the genetic code in two manners: having more than one tRNA (with a specific anti-codon) for a particular amino acid; and 'wobble' base-pairing, i.e. permitting non-standard base-pairing at the 3rd anti-codon position.
Source: Rfam by way of RNAcentral
GCCUGGCUGGCUCAGUUGGUGGAGCAUGUGACUCUAGAUCUCGUGGUUGUGGGUUCAAACCCUACACUGGGUG